GGGAUGACGUCAAGUCAUCAUGGCCCUUACGACCAGGGCUACACACGUGCUACAAUGGCAUAUACAAAGAGAAGCGACCUCGCGAGAGCAAGCGGACCUCAUAAAGUAUGUCGUAGUCCGGAUUGGAGUCUGCAACUCGACUCCAUGAAGUCGGAAUCGCUAGUAAUCGUGGAUCAGAAUGCCACGGUGAAUACGUUCCCGGGCCUUGUACACACCGCCCGUCACACCAUGGGAGUGGGUUGCAAAAGAAGUAGGUAGCUUAACCUUCGGGAGGGCGCUUACCACUUUGUGAUUCAUGACUGGGGUGAAGUCGUAACAAGGUAACCGUAGGGGAACCUGCGGUUGGAUCACCUCCUU
Molecule: ribosomal RNA, 357 nt
Filed under: Citrobacter koseri
Lineage: Bacteria; Pseudomonadati; Pseudomonadota; Gammaproteobacteria; Enterobacterales; Enterobacteriaceae
Description: bacterial SSU rRNA
Rfam family: Bacterial small subunit ribosomal RNA
Source: RNAcentral